AUGCACGAUGCGGACACGUCGGUUCCGAGCGCGCUGUCCACGUCCACCUGACGACCGCGCGCUACGUCGUGCUGGUC
Molecule: small RNA, 77 nt
Filed under: Xanthomonas euroxanthea
Lineage: Bacteria; Pseudomonadati; Pseudomonadota; Gammaproteobacteria; Lysobacterales; Lysobacteraceae
Description: sRNA sX9
Rfam family: Xanthomonas sRNA sX9
Source: RNAcentral